Molecule: long non-coding RNA, 614 nt
Organism: Choloepus didactylus (southern two-toed sloth)
Lineage: Eukaryota; Metazoa; Chordata; Mammalia; Pilosa; Megalonychidae
Exons: 4
Source: RefSeq, a predicted model, not a curated record
GGAGGAAGGAGGGGGCAGGGGGAGCUGUUUAUUGCUCGCAUCAGAAUAUCCGAAUUGCAACUAAAAAGCUGACUGCCCAGCCUGGCCAAUCUCCCACUGGGCGGGGAGCUUCCAGCAGCUUCUGAGGCUCAGUGGCCACACGCUGCCCCCCUUGUGGUGAGCACCUGGGGACCCCCAGGCCACCGGCCCUGAGAUGACAGAGAUGAGCGUUGGACCCUGUGACGGGAGCCCGGGCACCGAGGGACCCCAGGCCAAAAGCUCUGUCCCCACGGAGCCUGGGACCUGCCGCUCUGCCUGUCCCCAGGAACCCGCCGGGCCCCGGCACUUCAGGAGGAACCCUGAGCCCCUCGGCCUUCGUGUCUGGCUUCUCUCCCUCGUGUGCCGGCUUCGGGGCUCCCCCAUGUCAGGGUUCCAGUCCUGCUUACGGCCGAGUAACAAGUUCCCUGCACGUCUAGGUGUACACCAAGAGAACUGAAAACACGUGUCUGCACAAAAGUCUUUACACGCGUGUUCUUAGCGAAUUACUCACAGGAGCCAAAGGGUAGAAGCAGCCGAAGCACCUGCCAACGGGUGACGGGUGGACGGAGGAGCUGUGUCCGUCCGAUGGAAUGUUG